GACGAACGCUGGCGGCGUGCUUAACACAUGCAAGUCGAACGGAAAGGCCCUGCUUUUGUGGGGUGCUCGAGUGGCGAACGGGUGAGUAACACGUGAGUAACCUGCCCUUGACUUUGGUAUAACUUCAGGAAACUGGGGCUAAUACCGGAUAGGAGCUCCUGCUGCAUGGUGGGGGUUGGAAAGUUUCGGCGGUUGGGGAUGGACUCGCGGCUUAUCAGCUUGUUGGUGGGGUAGUGGCUUACCAAGGCUUUGACGGGUAGCCGGCCUGAGAGGGUGACCGGCCACAUUGGGACUGAGAUCCGGCCCAGACUCCUACGGGAGGAAGCAGUGGGGAAUAUUGCACAAUGGGCGGAAGCCUGAUGCAGCAACGCCGCGUGCGGGAUGACGGCCUUCGGGUUGUAAACCGCUUUCGCCUGUGACGAAGCGUGAGUGACGGUAAUGGGUAAAGAAGCACCGGCUAACUACGUG
RNAcentral lists this ribosomal RNA (468 nucleotides) under uncultured bacterium. RNAcentral describes it as "partial 16S ribosomal RNA". It matches the Rfam family "Bacterial small subunit ribosomal RNA", at positions 28 to 507 of the family's 1533-position model. The record is from RNAcentral.